RNAcentral lists this long non-coding RNA (1477 nucleotides) under Pongo abelii (Sumatran orangutan). Its description in RNAcentral is "lincRNA". Lineage: Eukaryota; Metazoa; Chordata; Mammalia; Primates; Hominidae. The record is from RNAcentral.
AUUGGGGACACUCCUGCGGGAAGGUGCUGAGGGGGGGAGCUGCGACAACCGGCCCCACACCAGAAAAAGCCGGGGGCCGCUGAGCCCAGGCCACCAACAGGAGCUGUGGACCCAGCCUGACCCCUGGACCGAGGUGCUUUCAGGGCACAAGGGGGAUGCGGGAGCCUGUGGCUGCUGUCGCUUCUGCCCUCAGUUCAUAAACACACGCUGUGCACAUCCCCUGUGCUUGGCAAGGGGCCUGGAUGGAAGGGCCAGUGAGGAGACGCCCAUCCUCCAGGCACUGUGCCUCCUCCCAAAGGUCAGCAGCCCUGAGCAUCACUGUGCUUCCCUCCCAAAGGUCAGCAGCCCUGAGCAUCACUGUGCCUCCCUCCCAAAGGCCAGCAGCCCCGAACAUCACUGUGCCCUCCCCACAAAGGUCAGCACCCCGAGCAUCACUGUGCCUCCCUCCCAAAGGUCAGCACCCCGAGCAUCACUGUGCCCUCCCCCAAAGGUCAGCACCCCGAGCAUCACUGUGCCUCCCCACAAAGGCCAGCACCCCGAGCAUCACUGUACCCUCCCCACAGAGGUCAGCACCCCGAGCAUCACUGUACCUCCCCACAAAGGUCACCACAGAUGUCUCUGAGCGAAAAUCUCCAUGAUGCCAGCAGGCGUGUCCACAGAGGAAGGGGCGAAGAAAAUGGCGAAUGGACAGGCGACAAUGGUGAAUGGACAGGCGACAGGCAUCCCACCUAGCUCGGAAGAGGAGGACAUCCUGAGAUUUGCCACAACCUGGAGGCGAUUGAGCUCGUGACAAAAGCCAGACACAGAAAGACAAAUACCACGUUCUCAUUUGUGCAUGGGAGCUAAAGUAAACCCAGGUGCUCCCUGCUAGAAAGCCACACACGGCAGAGGAGAGCUGGCGAGAGGAAAAGCAGGUUCGACUCAGCGGCCUUUGGAGACGGCAGACUGAGAUUGUCACAGAGACCAUCUCAAGUCAGCACGAAUUCCAGGCUCUUUUAUGUUAAGGGCAGGGGGACAGGGAGGGGUUUGGGAUCAAGAGGUGACAGGUGACCGCACCCUCUGGGUGCCAGCGAGGGUCCGAGGAGGCUGGGGAUGCCUUCAUUGUUGGUCGGGUCAUGGAGCUCCUGUGAAUCCACAACAGAACAGCUGUUCACAGGCUUCCCCUUUCAUCCGGGAGUGAGUUUCAAAACCUGCACUAUGACUACCUCUGUGUAUUUUCUCCGGCCUCUAGUAUGAUCCUAGGCUCCGUGCAGGAAUGGGUGAAGGCCUCUUACACAAAAACAAAGUCAGGUCCUGAGUUCUUUUGCUGUUUGUUUGCUUUCUCCUGCACACUCGAAAAGGUGACUGGCGGAGGUGAGGCUGCGCUAAUUAGCUGGAUUGUGGUGACCCUUCCACAAAGCACGUGUAUGCCGGCAUAUUCACUGGGUCAUGCACCUCGAAUACAUAUUUUUACUUGUCAGUUACAUCAUAAUAAAGG